This 437-nucleotide ribosomal RNA is filed under the name uncultured bacterium. Its description in RNAcentral is "partial 16S ribosomal RNA". It matches the Rfam family "Bacterial small subunit ribosomal RNA", at positions 29 to 507 of the family's 1533-position model. The record is from RNAcentral.
AGCGAACGCUGGCGGCAGGCUUAACACAUGCAAGUCGAGCGGGCAUCCUUGUGGUUUCAGCGGCAGACGUGUGCGUCACGCGUGGGAACGUCCCCUUCAUUUCGGACUUACUCAGGGAAACUUGCGCUAAUACCCGAUACGUGCGAGCGCAGAAAGGUUUGUCUGCCGAAGUAUCGUCGCGAGUCGGGUUAGCUAGUUGGUGAGGUUAUGGCUCACCAAGGCGACGAUCAGUAGCUGGUCUGAGAGGAUGCUCAGCCACACUGGGACUGAGACGCGGCCCAGACUCCUACGGGAGGCAGCAGUGGGGAAUAGUGGACAACGGGGGCAACCAUGAUCCAGCCAUGACGCGUGAGUGAUGACGGCAGUAGGGUUGUAAAGCGCUUUUUUCCGUGACGAUAAUGACGGUACCGGAGGAAUAAGCCCCGGCUAACUUCGUG